GGUUAAGCGACUAAGCGUAC
This 20-nucleotide ribosomal RNA is filed under the name uncultured Enterobacter sp. Its description in RNAcentral is "partial 23S ribosomal RNA". Lineage: Bacteria; Pseudomonadati; Pseudomonadota; Gammaproteobacteria; Enterobacterales; Enterobacteriaceae. The record is from RNAcentral. RNAcentral also lists the same sequence under 2 other names.